Molecule: ribosomal RNA, 497 nt
Filed under: uncultured bacterium
Lineage: Bacteria
Description: partial 16S ribosomal RNA
Rfam family: Bacterial small subunit ribosomal RNA
Source: RNAcentral
GAUGAACGCUGGCGGCGUGCCUAAUACAUGCAAGUCGAGCGAACAGAUGAGGAGCUUGCUCCUCUGACGUUAGCGGCGGACGGGUGAGUAACACGUGGAUAACCUACCUAUAAGACUGGGAUAACUUCGGGAAACCGGAGCUAAUACCGGAUAAUAUAUUGAACCGCAUGGUUCAAUAGUGAAAGACGGUUUUGCUGUCACUUAUAGAUGGAUCCGCGCCGCAUUAGCUAGUUGGUAAGGUAACGGCUUACCAAGGCAACGAUGCGUAGCCGACCUGAGAGGGUGAUCGGCCACACUGGAACUGAGACACGGUCCAGACUCCUACGGGAGGCAGCAGUAGGGAACCUUCCGCAAUGGGCGAAAGCCUGACGGAGCAACGCCGCGUGAGUGAUGAAGGUCUUCGGAUCGUAAAACUCUGUUAUUAGGGAAGAACAAAUGUGUAAGUAACUAUGCACGUCUUGACGGUACCUAAUCAGAAAGCCCCGGCUAACUACGUG